UACGAAGGGGGCUAGCGUUGCUCGGAAUCACUGGGCGUAAAGCGCACGUAGGCGGAUUGUUAAGUCAGGUGUGAAAUCCUGGAGCUCAACUCCAGAACUGCCUUUGAUACUGGCGAUCUUGAGUCCGGGAGAGGUGAGUGGAACUCCGAGUGUAGAGGUGAAAUUCGUAGAUAUUCGGAAGAACACCAGUGGCGAAGGCGGCUCACUGGUCCGGUACUGACGCUGAGGUGCGAAAGCGUGGGGAGCAAACAGG
Molecule: ribosomal RNA, 253 nt
Filed under: uncultured bacterium
Lineage: Bacteria
Description: partial 16S ribosomal RNA
Rfam family: Bacterial small subunit ribosomal RNA
Source: RNAcentral